Molecule: non-coding RNA, 26815 nt
Organism: Xyrichtys novacula (pearly razorfish)
Lineage: Eukaryota; Metazoa; Chordata; Actinopteri; Labriformes; Labridae
Source: the annotation of a GenBank genome assembly
CAGCGGCAAGAGGAACCGAAGAGGCUUGUUUGAGUUAAGGUCAAUCCUGUUUAGAUUGCCUUGGUCGUUGUCCGUUUUUUUUUCCCCGGCAUUUUGUUUGUUGAGCUUUUCUGCGAGGCAAAUCAUGUAUUCAUGUAUUCUAAGACCUGAUGUAAUGAAUGUGACUGUUUGCUUGUGCUGUGCGGCUGGUUUUUAUGGUGAGGCAUGGCUAUGUGUGUCGAAGUGAGUAUUUGGAUUGGGAAGGUACAAAGGAUACAGCACAGUGGGCACACUCAUACAGAUAGAUGUUCUGGCUGAGCAUUGUGGCGAAAGUUAAACAAUACAUCGUAUAUUCAGAGGGACGCACGUGAAUAGGAUUGGCUCUGUCAGACACAAGUAUUAGUCUUCAGAGUUUCUACUUUUUGAGUUGUGUUUAAUCAUCUGAGCUGCAGUCAGGGUCAAACUGGGGGUUCUGAGACAUGCUUAAGAAACUGGAAAGUGACAGCUGUUCAAGAGUAAGUCGACCUUACAUUAACCUUACCGAGGCUGAUUAAUGUUUAAAGAAGUAUCCUCAGACAGGCGCGGCUUUUGGUAACGGGACAAAAGGUCAACAAGCCAAGAAAAAAGCGGCUGAUGCAAAGAAAAAAAAUCCUGCAUGCUCAGGAGUGUUGCCAGAUGGGAAAUAUAGAAUUAUCGUACAAGAGACUCAAAAUUAUCGUAUUUUUGGGAAAAUUAUCGUACACCCGUCAUAAUCAAAAUAACAAUCUUACUGUUGCAUGAUAGUCACUCUGUUUAGGGUCCUACAGGCACUCACGAUUUUGUGGCUAAUCCCGACUGAGCAGGAUUAACAGCCUAUCAGGCUCGUUGUUCGGAGGCUGUCGUCACUCAAACUACGAUUGGAUGGAAACAUCACGUGAUAAAAGAUGACUUCAGGGUUCGCAAAUAAGAAACUGAAAAAUAAAGUGUCUGGCAGACUUAGACAAUCCCAUUGCACCACACGUUCACAAAGCUGUCAAGUUAUCGCAAACUUAGCCUUUUCAAUUUUCAUACACCUGGCAACCCUGACGCUUAGUAUUUGACACUCAAAUACUAAUCUUUUUGGAUCAAUCAGGCUGCCUAUCAUGUGUCUAUAAAAUAGGGUGACCAUAUGUCCUCUUUUACUCGGACAUGUCUUCUUUCUGGGGGGCUGUCGGGCCUUGUCUGGGAAAAAUCCUUCAAAUGUCCAGGGUUUUGUAUGGAAGCUUUGAGUUUGUGUUGCGUAGACUUACUGAGUUAGAAGCACGUAAAAAAACGCUCCACCAAACCUGAAAAACUCUUAAAAUUAACUAUGUGCGACUCUGUGACACCACCCCGCGUAGUCGUGUCCUCUUUUUGGGGAUUCAGAAUAUGGUCACCCUAUUUAAAAACCUAAUCAUAACUUAACGCUGUGACAAAAAUGUGCUUGAAAUUAAAAGCUGUUUUCAUCUUAAUUAUUUGUGAAUCAAAGUAAGAAGACUUGUCAUGUAAAAUCGCUGGAGUAUGAGAACCUUUCUAAAUCAUUUCUACACAAACUUAAGUACCUUGAGAAACGAGACAAAGGAGCUGUCCUCAUAACCUACAUUUAAAAGCCUGAACAAAAUAAUCAUUUAUAAGCUAUAUGACAGCUUCAAUUGAAGCCUUUAGUGAUACAAAUUUAGUGUCUCUCUAUUGAAUUUGGUGUCUUGGUUUGAAUUAUGCCACAUGCUAGGAUAAUAGGGAUUGUCAAAAUGGUGGACAGGUUAUAUAUGACGUCUUCAUUCAUUCAACCUUAUCAGUCGUUUCUGAAGAAGCCAUUUAGAUGAGCGCUCUGAAGACAAUACAGCAUGUCAUUGUGAUAGGUCCCAUCUUGGCUUUUUAGUGCCUCUCUGAAACAAAGACAGGAUUAACGCAUGGAUUGAAAUGGUAAAGCACAGUCAAAUACAUUUGUUUCUCUAACACUGCACAGUCUCUGCGAUCCCUGCGGCGACCUGCUCCUGGUUAUUUAUGAUGUCGAAAUUAAUCUCACUUUGCACGAUGGGCUCUCGAAGAGGGGGCCUCCUUCUGAGACGGCCGCUGAGCGAGGGAUGAGAGAGGGAUUGAGGAGAGGAGAGAGAGCGCAGAGCCACCGAGGACUUAUUCAAAUCCUCCCUCAUAGAUUAGCAAUCGCAGCUUGACAAGCCGCCCUGCAAGUUAUUUUCUAUUUAAUUUUUUUUUUUUUUUUUUUUAAAUCAAGGCGUUUUCUUACCAACAUGUCAAAGAUGGGGGUAAUCCAUUCGGAAUUUGCGAGUGAUGAGACAGGAGACAAACUCGCUGGCGUGUCACAGAGUACCGAGGAUGCAGGAAGUAAAAUAUGCAAAUGAGGUGUGCAGGCUUUAAAGCAGCUGUCUGUUUGAUUGCUGCUCUCUGGCAUUGUUUGCCUUUGAUGGAUGAAGGCUUUCAUUGCAGGGGCCCAUUAGGAGUACAAAUAUUAUGAUUUAUGAUUACACAGGAUCUUUGAUUGUCAAUUGAUGGGAGGCUCUUCGGAUGUAUGGUGUGAUAUUGCAUAGAACCGUAUAUGUAAAUGGUCUAAUGUUGAGAAGCGAACUAAAAUUAACUCCUCUUUAACUUUGAAUCAACUGAGCAAAGCUAUUCUGUCAGAUGGAUGGUUUUGAUAUAAGAAAGGAAAAGCUAAGAAUACAAAACCAUUUUCAGUCUUCUUUUACUCCUGUUUUCACACUGUUUUCUCAAUUCAGAUACAAACAUUUACGUCUUAAAUGCACCGCCAGCUCCAUCUACCAGAUCAUCCACUAGGGAUACAUCUCCAUGAGAGUGAAUUUUCUGGUUAGUCUGAGCUCUGGUAACACUAGGGCAGCACUGGAAGCAACAGACUCCUUGCUUGUGGGUGUGGGUAUAGGACUCAUGUGUUUUAUUUAAGUUAUGUCCUCUAAAGAUCUUACUCGUACUCAUGAAAAAUGCAAAAGUUUUAACAACUAAGGACAAGGACAAGCACCGAAUUAAACAGACUAUGUAUUUUCUCUCCUAACCAAGACUUAAUCGGCUAAGAUAAUCUUUGUACUCAAACAAACAGAUAGUGACAAGGACUGUCUGAGGGAAUAAACACAGCUUCUUUGUUACAGCUUCCUCACUGGGACAGUGUUUUAAUCACACAAACAAAGCGUGCAAGUGAAUACCAGUCACCACUGGCACCUCUUAGUGCAAAGCAUGAUUCUAAUAGAAUAUGGGGGGAUUAGCUGCUUAUAUUGUGCAGAGGAAAAUAAGCAACAAUAGGCUAAGUUUGCAUACUUACAAGACAUGACAGCUGUUUAACAUGAUAUAUGUUAAAUAAUAUUUCCUGAUGCACAUAAAACGAACCGCUCAAGAGUUGCUUUUGUUGAACUUUCACUUGAUUUAAAGUAAAAGUGAUGCUGUUGGAAUUCACUUAAGUAAACAUAAAAGGUUAUACGCAUCGUAAACAGAAUGACUUAAGAAAUAUAAAGGUAGUUUUUGCCUCUUUUAAAUGCAUCUUAUCUUCAUUUGACUCAAACUUCUAUACAGUGCAUUAAACUUUAGAGUGUUACGGUAAACUAUUGCAUAUAGUUAAAGCGCUAUGCAAAAUAACAACUUGGUAGCAUUUUUUCUUUUUCAGAUGUCUGUGUCGUACAAAGUAUAGAGUAAAAUGAGAUUUCAGAAAAUGUUAUUUUGAUGAUGUGUAGCUAAAGAUAGUUUGUGUAAAGAGUGAAUGCACGAAAAAACAGAAAUACCGUAUUUUUCAGACCAAAAGGCCCACCUGAUUAUAAGGCGCACUAUGAAUUAACGUGUCUAUGUUCACACACAAGGCACACCAAAUUGUAAAGCCCAUUAAGCAAAACAACACAGUCUGGUAAAUCAAACUUUAUUUAACUUAGUUGUAACAACAAAUAGCUGUACUGAAAAUAUGCUCACUUAUUGAUUCAUUCCUCUUCCACAAAUUCAACGAAUAAAAUUCUUCAUCUUUAGUGUCUGAGUUAAACAGCUGUGCGAUUUUGGCAUCAAGCAUGCACGGAUCCCUCUCAUCAUUAUCUGAGUCAGUCUCAUUGCUGUUACUGGUACGCAUUUUUUUUUUUUUUUUGUAGGAUGGUAGGGGAAGGUCCCGCCUUCCUUCGCCUCUUAUUGGCUAGAAGUGCUUGGCUCCGAUUGGUUAUUCCUUAUGGCCAUGAAACGUCACCGUCUGUCAGGUUAGGAGAUUCAAAAGUGCGAUAAUGUUCUGCAGUGUUCUGUUCAAUGUACAGAGACGACAGCCCACAUUUGGCUUGAGCGUGUGAUGAUGUUUCCAGCUUUUCUAGCCAAUCGGAGGCGAAGGAGGCGGGACUUUCCCCUACCAUCCUACAAAAAAAUAUAUAUAUCGCUACCGGUACUUGGCUGUUCAGUGACGAUUUCAGCUCAGACGACAUUUAGCGUAAUGCUCCGAAUAUCUAUUGAGAGGAGCGGCUUUGUUGCUUACCAAAAUCGUACUUCCACAUUUCAACAGAUUUUUGAGCGUAUUUUACUACAUAAAAUCAGUCAGUAAGCACAACAAGUAAUCAUACAUAAGAUGCACUAGAUUAUAAGGCGUACUGCCAAUUUUUGAGAAAAUCUAAGGAUUUAAAGUGUGCCUCAUAGUCCGAAAAAUAAAGUAGUAAGAAACCCUUUGAGUACAAAUUUCAAUGAUCCAACAGGCUCAUCUUAGCUUGGACCCUUGCAAAGUAUGCUUGCAUCAUUUGGAAGCUUUGCGACAUUUAUAAAUAUUUGACAACAGAUGAGUGGGCUCUGUGGGACGCCACUCUGAGCACCACUGACAAGUCUGCUAAUAAAGCAAAAACCAUCAGUGGCUCCCGUGUCAAAGACCGCACUCAAUAUCCAGAGGCUGAGAUUGCAGCUGAAACACGCACACCCAGGCUUGCAGACAUCGCUGCAUCGCAUAAACUCACACUUUUACACACAAAUGCCGCACAGCCAGACACCCAUAACUCAACCAAAACAUACAGACAAGAAUAUUCUUGCCAAAGCACACCAUCAACAAGUGAAGAAACAAAUGAGAGACUAAUUUAGUGAGUUUGUGAGCCAGUCAUCACAAUCAAUAAGUGCGCAAAUGAAAAAGCAAUUAGACCAACUGUGAAUGCCAUGCCUGCAAUCAUUGCUCUGCGUUUGCUGCUACACUUGAGACAAAUUGAAGCAAAUAAAGUAUCGUUCAGAUGGUCAUGCUGAGGGUUUUCACUGUAACUAUCCGCACUUACUCCGUAAAUGAUAUAAUCCAAGUGCAUUUGUGCAUGUGUGUGUGUGUCAGUCCCUUCAGCAGCUAAGAUUCCCAGGUUUGAAUGAGAAACAGGUGGUGGUGGCCAAACACACGCUCUCGGUAUACGGGGUGAAACCACGAUAACAUGAUAGCAGAAUGUUGGUAUUAAUGCUGUAAACACUGACUGAAGAGGUGGUUUAGUGUUAUGUACAUUUAUUCACUGACACAUUCAGUUGUGUUAAAAUCCAACAGGCCUUCUGUUUGCAGCGUUUGGGUGCAAAAGCAUUUCUGAUUAGUUUGAUUCUGCUUCUUUCAUCCAUGAUUACUCCUCAUUCUUUCUUCUCCUCUUUCCAUCCAUCCAUAUAUGUUGCUCUCUCUCUCUCUCUGUUGGCACGUGCAUCAUGGUUCCCCUGUUGGUUCUUGGCCAGCUCCCCCAACUCCUCUGCUCUCCCUCUUGUUCACCCUCCCCCAUCCUCCUCCUCCUCCUCCUCUUCCUCCUCUUCUUUCCUUUUUGCAUGUGUGCCAGGGUCUGGGGGGCUCGACACAGUGUACAGCCCAGUGGCCUAAAAGUGAAUACUUACGUAAUUGCCAACUGUCUCCAAUCAUUAGGGGCAGCCCUUAAAAAAGACAUGCUUCGCCGACAGCUGCGUCCCCUCGCCUUUGCCAGCCUUUCAGAUCGCAUUUGUUUUAAAGGGCUCGUCCACAUUAUAUUUAACCCCAGAGCACUGCGGAUGACGCGGAAAAAGAUAGCGGAGGCACAAUUUAUGCAGUUAUGUUCUACAACAUGACGUUGGUAUGAAAACGGGCAAUUGAUUCUUCCAGAGUUUGAUGUGCAGUGGAGUUGAAUGUGUUUAUAUCUGUUAUAACAGAUUUUGCGGCCCUGAAUCAUAAACACUGGUUUCAUCACAGCUCUGCGUAAUAAUUAGAUCAGCAUGAGAUGCUAAGUAUGUAGCUGUGGAAACAGUUCCUCAACAAUACGUCCCAUCACAUCUUUCAAACUCUCAAAUCCACAGUGAUGGGUCUAUUCGUCAUAGAUGAAAUAUAGUUGAGUACAUCUUUGCUACGAUCUAUUUACAUGUCCCCAGGUUACUGUGAUGUGUGAGCAGGUAGGACAUUAGCUAAUAUCCUCUGAGCUUUUAUUUGAUUUCUUUUCUUUUCUUUCAGCCACCAGGCCCUAAUGCGGUGCAGUUUUAACAUACAAACUUAAUGCAAGUGCAUUGAGGACACGUUUUGUUUAUACCCCAAGUCCUGCAUGAAUGUUAAAUUAAAGUAACGGAUAUAAAUUGAGAAAUUCAAGUUGAAAUGUGCUCAAAAGAACUUUCUUUGUUUAUAUAAACUACAGACAAUUCCCUGCCAGUUCCUGCUGCGAGACAAACGUACAUUUUAUUUCCGUGCUUUCACAGAGACCUCCCACAGUAUGGUUAGUGACAGCUGGGUCAGGUCCCCACAUAUCGGGGACACAGCUGCCCUGCAGACAUGUGCUCACAUACACACACACACAGAAGCGUGCGCACACACACACGCACGCACACUCUCUCUUCCAUGCACCAGGCAAACAGGAACUUGAAAGCGGAGCAUCUGAACUGCCUCAGAGCAGAAACACAUGACCACAUUUCUGUUGUCAUUACAUACGAAAAGAUAUUUCAGCAAAGAACAAAAGAGAGCUUUUCUCUUCCUCUUCAUUCCCAUGUGUUUUUGAUACGUGUUCACCACAUAUAAUGUUUCUAAUGAGAGGUUUGAAAAGAUCCUAAAAGGCAAUAAAAAUCCAAUCAGAGGAGAGAAAACGGUCUCUGCUCAUAAAGUAACAAAAUGUAAUACGAAUGUGGAAAUGUGAAAGUGAACUGCUUUAUAUUUAAAUGUGCCUAUUACUAGCUGCAGUUUUGUGUUUAUAUUUGUAUUUCAAGGUUUAAGGUAGCUUUAUUGUCAAUUUUGCAGUAUGUGUAACACAUACAGAGGAUUGAAACUGUGUCAUUUAAGGGCCCACAGUGCUAAGGUACACAUUUUGUAUUAAAAUAAAAAGUAUAAAAGUAUAAAUCAAAUGUAAAAGAAAAGAAAAAUAUAUUUGAGUUGAACACAUUUGCAUAUCGUUAAAUGCUAUGGUUGUAAAAGUAAAAUUAGAAAAGCAAUAAAUAGCAAGUGGUUAAGUCUUGGUAAAGUAUUUUAACCCGUAUCAUUUAGUGUCUUAAAAUAUGUUACUAUGUAGAGAAUAUACUUGCUUGACAUUAUAAAGAUGAAUGCUGAAAUGGAUUAAGUGAUGGUUAGAUCAGCAGCUUGUGAUAAAACAUAAGUAAUAGCAGAGUCCAGAUCCACGACUGUUAAACAGAGUAAAUCAUCUAUUUUGACAAACAGGCAGGCAUUGCUAAACAAAGAAGUCAUUUAUGUUUGUUCAUCUUUUCUGAGCUGAGAAUACACAUGUUUAAAACGCUUUCAAGAACAAUAAGGAAACCAAUAACUGAACCAGUAAAGAUGUCAAGGCAUGAGAAAUUCUGUUUCCAGAUGGUGAUGAUCUCAAUAUCAAUCAUAAUAAUCACAAUUUCAGUUUUUGCCAUGAUCCAGAAGUCCCACAUCACUACAGGAUUGUUGGUUGUGUGUGCACAGGUUGAAUCUCUGUUUUCGCUGUUUACAGUCUCUGUCAUUAUAACGUAACCAAGUUCAAACACCGAGGUGGUCCAAAAUCAGAAUACCUUGUUAUUAGCACAUAAGUUUACAAUCAAGCUUCUUUCCCCAGUAACCAGACAGUAAAAUUAAAGCUGAAAUCAUUUUUUUUAAUAUAUAACUCUUUUUGUGCUUCACAUAAUAUGAGGAGAAGCAAAGUUUAAGAAAAAUAGUCAGAGUAAAAUCCAAAAUGCCUGAUGUGUCAAACUAAAUAACCUAUGGCCUAACUUUAUCACACUUCUGAAACUUACUUUUAUCAGACGUAAAUGUUUGUUGCUCAGCUGGGGAGCUACCUUCUUUCCUGGGUAAACAGGAAGUUGACUUCUAGAAUAAGGAACUUGUACCUGAUAACCGAGUUGAUUGAGACUCAUUUAAAUAUUUUAGGAUUUUCAUUUCUGGUAACAAGACUUUUUUUUUCUUCUUACAUUAUGUUAACUCCCCAUCUAACAGAUUUAUUUCCCUUUUUAUCUUUUUUAUUCUGAGAGGGUUUUUUUUUUAGCUGUCUUUUAGCAGGAAUAACACUAUGAUAUCUGAAACCAUACUUUUUCUAUAAGGGUGUAUUUAACCGGGGUUCCUCUGUAAUUAUAAAAGAACAGCACCCGACUCCCUCCUGCAGUGCAUCACUUCUCCGGAAAGCUUUGUCAUUUGUUUUCACCGUCAUUCCACUCGGGUCAAGAUAACAUCGCAAACCAGUUUCGCUGACAUCACAGGGAUGUGGUGGCACUUGUGGGUGCUGCAUCUUCACAUUAGCGGUGAAUAGAGAAAUACUUACUGUAAAUGGUCUGACACAGUCAAAGUCAAACCACAGAAACGAGGAAAAGAUGAAUAUACCGAAAUAACAACUGUGAAUGCCUUUGUAUUAAAUUCAAAGUUUCAUAUUCAAAUUAUAUCCAGUAAAACAUUUUUGGUAAUGAGUUAUAUAUCAUAAGUUUCAGAUAAGUCAGUAUCACAAAGUCUGUAUUAUGAUUAAAGGUUUGAUAUGAGAGAUGCUAGAGGAUACAUUAAACUGUUUAUCUAUUCCAGUUUAAAUUACACAGUGUUCAAGUUUUACUUUUUUUUUCAAUUUGGCUUUGGAAAGUAAAAAACAAAGUUACAUGCAUUAUUUUACAGCAUUAAAAAACAUAUUAAGUAAAUGGCAAAUGGCCUGAGAACUCAGAGGAUAAAUGUUUAUCUUGGUUAUCACUUAUCUCACUUCUUUUUCCAUGUUUUAGGUAACAGGUAUGAAAUAAGUUCUUGCUGAUAAUAAUCACCAGGACUAAAUGAUUUUUUUUUCCAGAAAAAAAGUGAUGUGUGAGUUUGUGUUUCGGUCUGACGGCUUGUCUAAAUGCUUCCCGAACAGAAGCUCAGAGAGCCAUGAAUCAACCAUGAAGGAUAAUCAAAUCAAUGUAAAUGUGGUUUGUGUUUUUUUGUGAUGCUGGUGCUCGAUACCCUGAGGGGCCCUGUCAGUUGUAAGAGGAGGGGCUGUACAUAAUGAGGGGUCACGCUUGAGGGGCCCUUUGUAAACAUGCUGAGUGGGAGCCCUUUCUUUGUGGACAAGAUUGUGGAAUUAGUCCAAGACAAAGGGAGGUGUGAGCACUGGGGCACCCCAGACCCCUUACACACACACAUAUACAUGCAUGAACCAGCUCUUAUUAUCUUUGUCCUCCUCAUUCUCCAUCCUUAUACAAACCCUAUUCAUUUUUGAGACUGUGUAUGUGUGUGAAGCUUUUUUGCAAAGGACCCCUGGGGGGCAAGUGGGAGCUCCCAUUUGGCCUUUGUGAUUAAUACUGCAUUUUGAUGUUUAUUUGCUACAGUUCAUCAUUACUUGGAAAGGCUUUGAGACAGUCACAAUUUGUUUUUAUUAUAAAGCUAUAUAUUUUGUUCUAAAACUGCAGCUUUUCUGAAGUAAAAAGGAGAAGUAGGGUAAAAAAGAGAGUGCAGAGCAAAAGCACCAACAUGUAGGUUGUGCUUUAUGAUAACAAAGGAUUGAUGAAUCUCAUUCAUUUAAACAGACAUGAUUUUACCCGUAGGAAAAAUUAGAAUAUUCAGUGGUUUCAAAAUUUACUGACUUAAUUUAUAGUGUAUUCAUAAAUUAUUAAGAAACUCAGCAGAACCUUGAGGGGAAACUAUUUUUUACAAAACCGCAAAUACACAGUGAAGCUAAGACUUACGUUUCUCCUGAAGUUCACCAUCAGAGAUUUUAUGGCUUUAAAGAGUCUCAUCUGAGGGCUCUUGUUGCAGAAUUUGGGUUGUUGUAAGUUGGGUAGAGUGUAUCACCCCCUCCUGAGCAGAGGAAACCAGUCAAAAUGCAACAAAAAGUUUGCACCUCCCACCUGUCUCUUAUCGUCAUAUUGGGACAGUAGCUCAAAGUGGGUGGGGUGAUUCAAAUUCGACAACAGGUUUCCUGGAACAGCUGAAGCCAACUCUACAGUGUCGGAAACCCUGAGCAGAGAUUUUACAUAACUUUGCGGUCACUGGAGUAUAAGUGUGGUGUUGGGCUGCACUGCCAGCUCUGUAAAGAAUCACAUUCAUUUAACAAUGUAAUAACUCCUUCUUAGUUUUUUAGUAUUGAUUAUCUGCCAAAAUGAGUCUUGAUCCUAAACUUGUAGAGAAGUUUAGCUAGCACUGUUGUGAAACUAAGAAACAAACUGUUUCUGCUGUGUCAACUGGUGUGCAUGAACUUUAACUCAGAGCAGCGCUGCUGUGAAUGCAACUCUUAUGAGAGAGUGUGAAAAUCAGACGACAAACAAAGAUCGUUUAUAUUGGACUUUUACUUGACUUUUUACUCUGUUUUUUUUUUUUUUUUGUCUCCUUUUUCAUUGCUACUUAUUUUACUAAUUAAAUUUUAAAAUAAGCUGACCUGGUUACCUUAAAAGUGGACUAAUCAAUCUAGUGUGCAGUGUAGCUCAGCAACAUCAUUGGAUAAAUUCCAGAGCUCAGAGAAAAGUUUUACUGCCCCAGUUAUUAAAAUUAGCUUCAGAUUUGGUUGUUUUUGAUAAGAAAAUGCCAAAUGGUAAGUAAAUUAACCCAAAAAUAUUAAGCAAAGUAAAUUGAUUUUUUAAGGAAAAACUGAUUUAGAUCUACUGAUUAUAUAUAUAUUUAUUUUUUCUUUAUGUCUGGAUGAAAUAGACUUGAACUGAGCCAUACCAGCUUAUAUUUUUACACAUUUAUGUAUUCUAAGUGUAUCAAUUAAGCCAUUUUUAUUCAUCCAUACUUAAAUUAGAUAGAUAGAUAGAUAGAUAGAUAGAUAGAUAGAUAGAUAGAUAGAUAGAUAGAUAGAUAGAUAGAUUGUUUACAUUUGAGUCUCACAGAACAUCAUUCAAUAACUUUGCCAUUUUGUUGCCAUACUUUUUAUGUCCAAUCAACACAAUAAUAAACCCUGUUGGUAGUGUAUGUUUGUGAAGCAGUGUCAACAUUUCCAAGUACAACAGGAAAGCUGACAAGUUAGAUCUCUUGUGUCCUGUAACAUGGUUAGGUUGUUUCUGCUUUCCGUGAAAUGGCCCUCGAAAAAUAUGGCCUGGUUUCUCUCUCCUGCUAAAAUACAAGAGUGAGUAGGAACAAGGCAGUCUGAAAUGAUGUUAGGGUCUACUAAAUUAAAUUUGUCAUUUUAUAUAUAUAUAUAUAUAUAUAUAUAAAUUUAAAUAGAGCUUUGUAAAUCUCUGUUGAUCUAAUCUAAGAACAAGUGGAUAUAACUAAACCAUUUAAAGAUGUCUAAAUGGUUUGUCCUUGAUCACAGACUAACUCCUGGAGAUUUGUUGAUUAAAAAAUGAUAUUUCAGAUAUUUACCAUGAGUUGAAAUAUAAGCUAGCAUACACCAUGAAUGGAAUUUCCUGCAGCCCGAGUUUGCGGUUCUGUUGUUGAGAGGUGAAGGUCAACAAAUUAAUGUGUUCACUCUCUCUGGACCACUGCAGUGCUAUGAAACAAGAGACAAAACAUACCAGCUUAGCUUUCAGUAUUACAGCGAGACCUCCAUGAAGAAAGGACGUGAAAAAGGCGAAACUGUUGUAUCUCAUAAACAAAACGUACAAAGCUGCAAAAGUGACACUGUUUUCAUAGCUUACCAGACAUCCCAUUAGCCAUGUUUGUCGAUUGUUUUGGUAUGUAAUAGGUUAACUGGGAGACGACUAGUAGUAACAAACUGAAAGGGGGCAUGUCCACCACCUACGGUAGCAGAAGCGGAAAUGCUUCAUUUCGCCCGGUACUUGUAAACCAGGGAAAGGCCAGUAAUCCAGUUAAAUUGCUCACUCAGCUAUAACCAUGAACCAGCUAAAAUGUGCAUCUAAAAAUACUGUGUGAUCUGACACUCUGAUAGUAAUCUAAUUCUUAGGUUUCAUCAUUGGCUGUGAGCCCUCUUUCAAUCAAUAAAAGAUCUCCCCUCCCACCUACAGCAUGUGUCAAACAGAAAUGCAGAGCUGAGGCAGUCACCUUCAGGUUGCUAAAGCGGUCUUGUCCCAUGAAAGAAGGUCAGUUCUCUUUGAGAUAACACAGAGAUUAUGUUACUACACAAUGAAGCAAAUAGGAAAACACUGUAAGGUCGCUUGUAGUGUUAUGGCUUCCUGUGAUGCUGCCAAACAAGAAAAAUUCUGGGUUCAAAUCCUGGCCAGAGUCCUUCCAUGUACAUUCAAAGUACUCUGAUAGCUCAUAUGUUCACUGGUGCAGCCAUGCAGUACUUGAACGUUCAGAAAACCAAAGAGGUAAGAACCUCUAGACUAGACCUUGGUGUGGUAGUGCUGGAAAUGCUGGCUCUGGGAUGUUUCGGCUACCUUUCAUCACCAUCUGGACCUUGCUUUUGAAUCACCAUAAUACACUGGAAAGAAUAUUAUCUCAAACAGGUGAUCCCAGCACCUUCAUGAGGCGAUUAGCACUAAUGCAUUAAGACAAGCAGGUGCAAAGUUUCUAAUGCCAUGGGGGCCCCAGUCCCGUGGAACUUAAGUGUUCUGGCCCUCUACUACCAUAGUCUUGGAGAUGCACUUGAAUCACCAGGAUGUAAUGAAAAGAAGUUAAACUCAAAAACAAGCGAUCACAUUGAACUUCAGUCUGGGAGCUGAAUGGCAUUAAUGGGUUUUUGUGAAGCUGGUAGUAAACUGGACCUCAUGAUAGUCAAAAGCGAUGUUGUUUAUGCUCAAAAGGAACGGAGCUGGGAAGUUUUAGGUAGUUUUAACACAUUCUGACUAUUAUUUUGGUAAUAGAUGUAACAGGUCAGCCAGGAGAUAAGCCAAUUGUAAAAAGUCAGUAAAUCAAUCCUUGCUUGAAACCUGUAGACUGCAAGGAUAGCAUUCCAGUUAAAUCACCUAAGACCUGACCAUAGAUCCACUUAUUAACCAAAUAAACUAGCCAAAUAAAAUUGAACCCAUGGUUUUACCAAGUCUUCAAGCUCUGCUUUGUUUACAUGGCCUUGAAUUCGUAGAAAGGUAUCUUUGUGAAAGUGAAAGCUGUGCCACCAACUUAUUUUGAAUCCAUCUCAUAUACAGUGGGGCCACAGCUCAUUUGGUUCAUAUAGCUAAACAAAAGCUGACUUUAACAACGUGACUCGGCUGAUUCACAUGCAAAGCAGAGGGUCUUCUUUCACAGCCAUGUGGAAGAAGGCCUGUGCAUAAUUACGGAAGAGGGGUUUCAAUAGCAUCGUAAUUGGAGGCAACGCCCCAGCUCAGAAAGGGGCCGUGGGGCUCUAAACAUGUCGAGAGCUUUAUUGCAAUGAGGUCCUUAGUCUACUACUCUUUAAAACCACAAUAGAGAAGAGCUGGAAACAAUGGUGGGUUAACAUGAUUGUGUGUGUGUUUGACUAGGCCUGGGAGCUCUCUGUUGCCUUUUCUGCUGCGCUCCUAGUGAGGGGGAAGUGAGGCGUACUGAUGACAAAAGAGACGGGUGCUUGGGAGCAUAAAGGGCCUGGUUAAUCACGGCCCUAAACUACAGGAAGUGUCUAUUCAAUGAAGCCUCAGGCAGCCAAGCAAUGAUGCAAUCUGGGCACUGAGGUGGACUGGGGUUUAGCAGCAGGAAGGUGGCAGCAGAGGAAGAAUUGAGUUAUGACAGAUUCACAAAGCAAGGGUUCUUGAGGUCUUUGUCAGGUCCAGCUGGCUUGCAAGAACUGCUGCCAUAUUUGUUUAUGCAACCUACUGGGAUAGUCAGUGUUCAACAUCCAGCCAUCUUUGUACAGCAGACAUGAAAAAAGAUCAUGUAUAACUCUGAAAUCUGACAUGGCUGGGGUUGAGAAGCAUUAAAAAAAUGCUCAGAUAUAAAUUUGGAUGAACACUUUUGCCUUCGCUGCCAUUUGAAUCCAUCUUUACACCACCACUCUUUUAUAUUUCCUCUGACUCCAAAGUCAACACAGCAGAAAUGCAUUUGUUCUGCCCUCGCCUUCACCCUUGACUUUUAAAAUAACACAUUUCGAGUUCUUUUCAUCUUUACUGAAAAAAAAACAAAACAAAUAUGGAGACAACAGAAGCCAUUUACAGCAAAUGUUUAUUACCCAGUUUGGGUGUGCACCCAUCCUGGCCAACUGCUAAACAGAUUUUCUCGGCUGAAAAACACUUUAAAAUAUCUUUCUGAUUCCGCCGAUGUGCGCCAGAAUUUGUGCAAGAGAAAAUAAUGAAUUGCCUGUGCUGCACGUACACAAAUGCAUCUCUAAUGAGUAGUGCCCUACUUGUUCAUUUCAUUACAGAGAUUUUCUAAUGCUUUCAUCUUGUGCACAUGCCUCUGUGUAUGGCUACAAACCUUGUGUGUCGCACAAGUUGUCCAUGUUUUGUACAUGUGUGUGAGCAAAGGAGGGGGGAGUUGGUAGUUUUGUACACAUCCGUAUUAUCUCCUGCUGCUCAUCCGGCUGAGAAGCUGGCCUUAAUUACUAGUGUCUGCCUGAGUCACUAGCAUGCUCCUCUACCCACACAAAUAGACAGCAACAACAGGCAGCAUCUCAAAGGAAAGGCAAGAGUGGUUUUGCUAGUAGCCGGAGGGCAACUUAUCCCUGCCAACCAGAUACAAAGGUACUGUGGGCCCACUUCCAAAUGGAUCCCUAGACUCUUUUCCCUAGGGCCUUGUUGACUUCCAAUUGCUGUGCAGGGGCUGCUGUUUGGAUGAGCUAAAUCCAUUGUUUAUUUUGCAGCCUCUUGGUUAACUGGUUUUGUUCUCGAGUCUUUUUGUAGCCUUUUAAAAUCAGCUAUAUCAAAUCAACUUUAAGCUCUGAAAUGGAGACUGGUUGGGAUUUAGGCUGCACGUUUUCUGAGAAUGUACCUCUAUCUAAUUCAGACACUGAUCAUCCCAGAGGCGUUGUGCUAUAUCUUGCCAGCCUGCUUUGAUAGAGUCUUCAUGUGUAGGCAAUUUCUUUUUCUCAGCUCGCUUUCACCGCCUGAAACUGUUGAGUCAAAUGAAAAACUUUACAUGGGAACUGACGGGGCUACAAUUAAACAUCUGGAAAGAGCAGGCACAGCCCAUCUUGGGUGGAGGGCGGGUUGAGACUAUAAAUAAAUUCCAUACAUUUUCUGUGGCCGGAGCUACCCCAGCAUGCAUAAGAAUUCCAUUUGAUGUUUCCAUAAAGUUAUAACAAGGCUUGAGUUGCAGCCAAGACAUCUUGUUGGUCUCUCACCAUUGACAAUCUUCCUCAAGCACAAUGUUUUAGUAGCUGGCAUUGGUCCGCUUACAGCUAAUAAGACCACCAUAAAAUUGCAAACCAUUGUCAGCUGUGUUGUUGAAUGAGUAUAGAAUGGCGCAAAGUCAAACAUGGUUUUCAAGAAACCAAAAUGUACGUCUCAACUCACUAGAAAUAAGUCAAAAUGCUUUUCUACUGUUGUCAUGCCCCUGCAGUGUCUGAUACUUCUGGACAAGAUAUGUUAAGUUUUAAGACUGAAAGCACUUCAAGUACAGGUGUGGUGCAUGAUUUUCAAUCAAACAUGCAGCAAAUAACCCAGUCAGAGUUAACUCAAAGACAAACUGUUACUGUAACUGUGAUGAUCUCAGUCUACAAUUAAAAUUGAAAGUAUGUUUUUACACAACUCUUUGAGCAAUGCUCUAGGACUUUUGUUGACAGAGAUACAUGUCCAACGUCAACUUUUCAACUUCCCGCCUCUGCCAGGGUCGAAGUUUUUUAAGUCUAUUCCAAACAUAUUUAGAUUAAAACACAGAUUUUGUAUAAACAUUACUGACAGUGUUGUAGUCGAGUCACCACGUCUCAAAUCUGAGUUGAGUCUCUAGUCUUCAUUGUUCAAAUCCGAGUCGAGUUCAAAGCACCAGAGAAGAAUCCAAGUUCAGUCAGAGUCAAGUUCCUAUUACAUGAGUUAAAGUCAUAAUUUAGAAGUCCUUAUUAACAUUAUUAUUUGUUAUGGGCAGCAGUAGAUCUGGAGGUAGAGCGGUCGUCAAAUAACCGGAAGGUCCCCCCUAUCCCUAGUCUGUCCGUUGUGUCCUUUGGCAAGACACUGAACCCACCUUGCUCCCAGUGUUUGCCCUCCACUGGUGUAUGAAUGUGACUGUUGUGUGGUGGUUGGAGAGUCCAUAGGCGCAAACUGGCAGCCACGUUUCUGUCAGUCUGCCCCAGGGCAGCUGUGACUACUAAGAUAGUUUACCACCACCAGGGUGUGACUGUGUGAGCCAAUGAAUGAUGUACCCAAUGUAAAGCACUUUGAGGGUCUCUGAUAAAGCGCUGUAUGAAAUCUGAUGCAUUAUGGGGAAGGAGGCUGCUUCACUCUAAAGUAUUCAUUUAUUUAUUCAUUCUGUAUGAACAUUGACUUUUGGAUGUGAAGAAAUUUCAUCUCAUUCACUGACAUAAGGCUGAUGCUUGUUUGGAGACUUAAGCUACCAAUGAAGUUACAGCACUGUGCGUCAUGUGCAAGGCCAUGCUUCCCUUAAAAAAAAUUCUCACUUUAUUGAGUGCAACCGAUAUGGAUUCAAUAAGAAAGUCUUAAUCAAGAGAUAGGUCCUUCUGUUAUUGUCUAGAGUCCUAAUAAAGUUAGCGCUGGAGUCCAAAUACAAGUCCGAGUCAUCAGUUCUCAAAUGGGACACGAGUCUGAGUCCUGAACUGAUACAAAAAUUACUGAUAAAGCUGCAAGUACUGUGAAAGAUUUGUAGGGGGUGCUCCUGAGUCAAUCUGAAACAUCCCAUUGUCCCAUCCAAAUGUAAGUUCCCUCAAUUUCUUUAGUGCAUUUAUGUGCAUCUGUAAAGUUCAUGAGUUUUGAAGCAUGUUUAGGUUACUGAAAAUCCAAAGAUUCUCACAAAAGUGCUCCUUUUUGCUGUCUGUCUUUUGAACACAUACAGUAAAAGAGAGUGUUUUAUAGCCAAACCCAUCUGGUCCUCUCCAAAACAAAGCUUUGACAUCAACCAGAUAGUUUUUAAGCCAUUCUCUGCAAACCCCGCUAAAAAGAGAGCAAAGCAGACACUUCUGAGCAGAUGAUUCACAAGAGACACAGAGCCAAAGUGCAGCGAUAGUUCAGCAGGCACGGAGUAAGAAAAUGGGACACUGAAGUUUUUCAGAUAAGAAAUGAGAUUCUGAACACGAAAUAGCAUUACCACCGCCACCGUUCUGCAAGCCCAGCAUCCAGAGCCACUGAUGCCGUGUUAUUACUGCACAGGAUGAAGUUCGUUCAGUCAGUCACCCGGUGUGAAGCGGCGGCUGACUUUGCUCGCCCGGCCGCUCCUCUGCUACUCUCUCACUGCAUUAACAGCGGGGAGUAGACUCCCAAAGCCUGGAAAAGACACACUCCAUUAAGUCUCCAGAAGGACCCAGACGUUGCUCAGAUACAUGACAAUGAACAGAAUAUAAAUUUAGAAAAAAACAGCACAGAGGAAACACUCAACACUGUCUUUUUCAUGAAGUCCUGGUGUACAGUGGUGUUAAUAUGCAGGAAAAACCUAAAAUAACAACGUUUCUGCAUUAUUGCACCAAGUUUUCAAGAAUUUCACAGCUUUUACUUUGAAUGACGUAUCAACAACAUGCUAUAAUUGAUCUUGCGUGUUUUAACUGAAUGCUAGACACCCCAAAAAGAGUAAUAUUUUCAUCUACAAUGAUCCGGGUAUGAGGAAACACAAAGACAUUUAAUACAACAUCAGCACAGAGGACUGGAUCGCCUAUUUUUGGCUUCUUAGAGAGCAGAGAUGAGAUUUAUCCUCUAAUUCUGACUGAAGGCUUGGCGUCACCCUUCUCUGUGGAUAAUUGCAUUAUUGUGGUCCGUGUGCUUUCAAGUGUUAGUUGUGUUCUCCUUAAACAUUAAAUAAAAUAUAUUUAUUCUCUCUGUCACAUCAGAGGUCUGUGAUGUGGAAGAGGCAGGCCUUGAUGUUGAUAUUCUUUAAGUGUAUUGCUAUAAUAGGAGAAUCUUAUCUGGCAAUGUAAAUUCCUAAUGCAUUCAUUGCCCCUCUACUUCACAUGAAAACCCUUUCUGUAGCAUGUUAUGAACUCAUACUGUUGCUGCAGCAUCUUCAUAAUGACCAGAGUUGUGCGGUUAUUGAUUUGAGCUAUUUUGCAGGAGGGACAGAGGCAGAAUCAACCUCUUCCCCGUCACAUGCAAUGCAUCAAAAUAAUUGGCAGUGCCCAAUUAUCCUGUGAUCCGUGUACAGGAGCUCUGAUGAGCUGCCUGAGAACGAAUCAGUAAUCAGGAAGCCUCGGGUAUGAAUCACAGAUGUGACACUGGCAGGUCAAAACGUUUGGAUAAAAAUAGGGCAGUGCUACUGGCAGGAUGGCAUAUAAAUAUGGCAGUUGUUUUCAAACUCUUGUAAAAAUGCCACAUUGGAAUUCAACGCUUAAAGAUAAUUCGGCGACAACAAGUGUAAGCUUGCGUGACUUAAUCAACCCCGAGUGCAGCAGGCAGUCACUUAACAGUCAAUUACAACUGGGACCACAGAGAUCUGAGACGAGUAACUUUAACACACUACAGUCACGUCAACACAGCAGUGAGAAUAAACCAGAUGGCAAAGACUGGAUAUCACCCAGACUUUGGAGACACUGAAGUGUAACAAAGCUUUGGACAACUGACCUGCUGCAGUGAGAGUUUUUUCUUAUUUUCUUCGUUCACUCCCCUUGAAUGAAUUAUUCUUACUCACUUUAUAUUAGGAUGAAGUGUAAUGUGGAGAGCAAAGCUGGUUGUCGCCCAUUAUUUGAAGAUGCUUGCAAACGUUUGCUUUUCAAGGGCUGUUGCAUGGUGGAUGUACUACUGUACGACUGUACUACUGUUAAAGGUAUAUUCCCACAUAAAAUCAAUUUUAGGGUCAAACACACCGUAACACUGAGUUAGACACCCCCUUGAGAGAUGAAUGUUGCCGACCGCUUGCUUCUCUAGUUAUACUAACUUAGCAACAUUACUUUAUCCUUUCCUUGAAGUAAUAAUCUCCAUAUCAAUCAUUUUGCACGGCAGUUCUUCUGCCUUAGCGUCUCAUUCUGAUUGCAUUUCAAUGAAGAAAUGAUCAUAAAUGUUCUUCCUUGAGCUGCACCACCCCGCUGUAGUCUGUAAUGGACUGGCCCAAGGUCUCGCUACAAACAAGCGGCUGCUGGAAGAGAGUAGGUGAGUUGUGUUUAGUCUCUUUGCUAAAGACGUUAGGCAAAGCUAAAAAGAUGUUUGGUGGCUAGUACUGUGGCUGGGACUCUAUAUGUUCAACCCUGUUGAUGAAGUUAGGUGCUGUUCUGAGCAUUAUUUGUGGCUAUAGAGUGGCCUUUUGGUUGAGGUUUGUUUAUGGCUCCUCAGACAGCUGUGUAUUACUAUCCUGCGGUCAUUACUAAAGUUGGUAUAACUAGAGAAGCAAGCGGUCGGCAAUAAUCAUCUCUCGAGGGGGUGUCUAACUCGGUGUUACGGUGUGUUUGACCCUAAAUUAACUUUAUGCCUGAAUAUGUCCGGUUUCCAAUUUGUAUAGCCACCAAUUCAUCAGACACUAUCUCUACUUCAUUUCUCCAGUAAAGUUUGUUUUUCAAAUUCUACAGUUUUAUUAAUAUUUACAGGGAACAUAUUCAUGGUUUGAGUUUGUGAGUUGAAGUUCAAAUCACUGACCAUAUCAGUUUGUGAUGCCUGAAACCUUUUUAUCUUCCCUGCACUAUUCCAGUGAUGGACGGUCAUAAAAAUUGUCAUAAAGAAAAGGACUUCUGAAGUCGUAGCCUGUGAUGACAUAAAACAUCAAGAAAAAUGUUCAAACACUUCAUGGGGGAAGGACACGCUGAUAGGUCAAGCUUGAGACAAAGCACUGAGAAGAAAUGCCUCCCAACCGUUAAAUGUCGUUGCUGUCAAUCAGUGAGAGAACGAGAUUUAAGCUGGCACUGUCCAUGUCACAAGGUGGAUUCUGUCUGUGUGGACUUUUCAUCAGUGACAGACUAUACGGUUCAAAAGACAAUCGCUCAAAUUGUUUUUGGUCUGGAUAUGACAAACUCAAUAUUUCAGACGCUGCUGAUGGAAUCAUUGCAGUUUGAUCUGUCUUUUUGUAUAUGAGACGUCAGCAUGAUGAUGGUCCCCUGACUGACUUCCAGGUGUUGGAGCAGGUGUGAGGCUCUUAAAUCAACUGAAUCUGAGGAAGAGAAAUAAACAUGUAACCUCGUUGUUACCGAAAAGCUUGUAUACCAAUUAGACCACGAUGACAUCCUGACAUGUUUUCAUCACAUCAGCCAAUUAGCAUUUGCAAAUUAUUCUUAGUGAAUGCACUGACCUACUUGGAGGACUGCAAGGGUGGAGUUUUUGCAUCAAUAUAAUCUGACGCAGUUUGUUUGCAGGAUCAGAAAAUGGUCACAGAAUUUAAAAAGAAGUCUUGAAUUGUGACAAAAAUGGUUGAGAACUAAAUAAAGAUGAAGAAAAAAGCCUUGAAGAUUAAAAGUUUAAACUUGUAUUACUUGCAUUAAUCUGUCGUUUGAUUUAAGAUAAAGAGAAAAUAACCUCUGUCCUCUUCAAACAGGCUGGCUGAGAGAUUCCCAGAGUUGAAAAGCAGGGCAGGAUGUAUGGGAAAUAAAAUGAACCAGAUCUGAGCUGUACAAAUUAGCUUCAUACUUUUCAGUGUGUAAAGCAAAGAUAUUUGCUUUAUGGCGCAUGUAAACUGUCUCCAAAGGGACCACAGUCAUGUUCAUAAAUUUCUUCACUCAGUUGGUUUAUCAGGAAAUCUUUAUUCAACUUCAGCCUUAGACACAUAAGUAAAUAUUGGAGAAUCAUGACUGAUCUAUCUUUUUUGAAGGUGUUUCCUCAGUCGGAGUGAAAGAAAACACUGUAAUUUAGAAUUCUUGCUGCUUAUUUUCCAUCAUAACCAGCAGACUCUCCUUUCUUUUCAAGAAAUAAUUUAUGCCCUGUGCUCCCUCAGCUCACCCUUCUCUCCUCAUUCUCCUUUGCCACUUUCUUCAGCAUUUGACCACACCUAUCUACCUUCAUUUACCAUUCAUUUAUUAUAUAACCCAAUACUUUCCUAGGAUAUAUUAACCUUACAGAAGCGCUGAUGUUAUUUAAUCUGUCGUCUGGCUGAGGAGCGGUUGUUAUUUAAUGCUGGAGAAUGACAAAUAAAGCUCAUUCCAGCAAAGCGAUCCUGCAAAGUUGCUCUUUAAGGCUCUGAAACCAAAACCAUAAAACAAUGCAAUGCAUACAAAUAAAUAUUAGGAUCGCCACUGCCUGACCCCGAGUCUCCAAACAUUGAAUUUUCUUCCUGCGCAUUAUAAAAACCCAUCUAAGAUAAAUGACAAAGUCAGAGCUGCAGCGCCAGGGAGGCAGAGGCUACAUCGGCUUAUGCUUGAGCGAGCAUGUAGGCCAUACGCCAUGGAUGCACCACACACCCUGAGGUGAGUGGAGCCGAGCGUUUUUUUUUAUUUUUUUAUAUACACGUCAAGCAAGCUUCACUGCAUCCUUGUGACACAACCCCUGCCUCAGAGAGGAGUCAGCCCUGUGCUGAAUAAAACAGGCCUGAUAUCAGCACGGAAUAUGGUAAAAUAUUGAGGAUAAGGGUAAACUGGGAGGUGAAGGUCCGCUGAUGUGAUCGUAUUUCAACACAUUUACAAACUUUAUAAGGUGUGGCAUGAGAAAGCUGUAACAUGAAACAUGUAAGGAUCGCAUUAUUUUAUUUUUACUUCAUAAAUUCCCAAAUAAUGCCAGUGAAAUACUCAAGGACAUGAUGAUUGUGAGAGCGACAUAGUCCCAAAGGUUUCUACAAUAGUAAACCAUUAUAAGAGAAGGAGAAAUACGGUAUAAAAAUGCCCAAAUGUAAAACAUAGAUGGAUCUGAUUUAUGUAAGCUCCCAAUGAAAUAAUGGAAUGCUGAAAUAAGAAAAAAAAAUAUGAAUUUGGUUUUUUUUUUAGGAAUCAGAGACACAAUUGAUCAACUUGGUCAGCUACCACUUGUGCUGAUUUGACACAUGCACUCCUGGAAAUCGGAAGAUUUAAACCCCUGAAAUUUACAAAGUUGCUUGUUUACACAUGUCGCUCACAGCACGAAGUCUCCCCUGUAGGAUAAAUCCCUGGAAGCAAAGCAUGCUGCAAAGCCACAGUGUAAUGUGUACAACAUGGUGGCAAAGGAAGCAUCAGAGACGCUAUCAUGAUAUCAGCACAAUAGGCUGACAGAUUGAUGUGAAGACAUCUGUUGUUCUGGUCUUGGAAAUAAUUAUCCCUCUUCAACUUUUUUUUUCUUUUUUUACUCUUCUUGGUUUUCCUCAGUCACAUGAAAUAACCAUCAUCACCCGGUUAUAUUUCAAGCUCCUUCUCAUAUCUAUUGACCCUCACUCUGGAAAUUUCACAAGAGGACGAGCAGGGCAAGGUCCCGAAAAUGUUAGGGUGAAAAUUUUUGAGUUUUGUGUGCGUGUGUGUAAACACAGCUUUAGACUUUACAUUAGCUCACCAGCUUUUGUUUUUCAAGCCGAACACGAACUUUGAAAAACCGUGUAAGUCAUACCCCAGAUGGGGGCUUGUAAAGAGAUAUUUCACUCAAAAAUAACUGGAUGAUGCUUGCGAUGUGACAUCCUUCAGUUAGUAAGACAUCAUAGAGGUUUUUCCGUCCCACCAGCAGGGAAAAGUUCAAUCUUAAAAGUCAGAUGAAGACAAUUCUUUCUUUUUUUAAACUGGGGGGAAAAUCGCUGUAGAAUCAUGAUAUUCAGAUUCACGUACAUAAGGUUGUGGGAGAGUCAAAUUUGAGUUCAACUUGUGGCCUUUUACUCUGAAAAAAAAAAUUGUUUUUAACUUUAUUUAUAGUAAUUUUUUAGAAAUAGAGUUACACACAUUAACACCAGUAGAGUGAUCAUGACAUCCAAGAACUCCCAUCAUCAACCCCAAUCCCCUUCAGCAGGCAAACAUUAGGGUUUGCAAAGAGCACAAUAGAAUCUUACAAUAGUAAAAAAAAAAACAAGGUCAAUCUUACUCAGGCUGUUGCAGUAUCAACACCAUAUCUAAGAAAAAAAGAAAUGACAUCGCUCAUCUCUACUUUUUGUUAUCAUCAAGUUUGCAGUUUUCAUAUUUAGAACAGCCAAACACCUCAAGAUGGCACAAGCUUUUAACAUGUAAAAAAUAAUGACUGAGUCUUAUUGAACAUUUUUACUGACCUCUCGUUUAGAGUAACUCAUUGUUUCCAAAGCAACUGCAUUUCUGCAAGUAUAAGAGCUUCCACUCUCCCCCUACCACUCCAAAAAUUGCAGUAAGAGGUCAGGAUUUAUUGUUUUUCCACUUAUUGCUCAGAGAGAACUAAAAACUAAUAUCCACAAAUUGGCCAAAGAUAGACAUGACCAGGGGACACUGGAGAAUACUGACUUCUGGGGCACACUGGCUUAAUGUUAGGGUAAAGCUUUGCCAAUUUAUCAUUUGAAUUAUGAAGCCUGGACUACUUUAGACGAAAUAACUCAAUGUCGAACACAGAAAGAUGAAGUAUUUAUAUGUAAAAUAAUGUCCUGCCAAGUUUUUUUUAAUGGAUUUCUUGAUAUCUAUCUCCCAAGAAGCUUUAGUUUUGUCCAGUGAGUGGGGGAAUCUUGUUCUGGAUCAUGUUGUAUAUUUUAGAGACCAAAUCCUCUCUGAAGGGAUUUAUGUUAAGAACUAAAAACGUUAGAUCUUCUGGAGGAUGAUUGGAGUAGCGUGUAAAGUCACUUGAAGCAAAGCCGCGCACCUGGAGGUAUCUAAAAUAAUGAGAUGAAGGAAGUCUUUUAAGAAGUAAUACGACAAUGAGCUGAGUGGGCUGUAAUAUGGCUUGUUAGAUGACAGACAGAAAGAGGAUUUUCAAGAGUUUGGAGUACCACAAAUAUAUCAAGGCAGGCAGAUAGAGGUAUCUUCAUCGAUGCUGGACCUAUUGAGACAACAAUGGCAGUGAACAUGGAGAUAAGGUUUAUUCUGUUGCUAGGUGAUUUGAGCAAUCACGUCUUCUGAUGUGAACAGUCAAGCCAAUUCUGUUUCCUCAUUAGAAAUCUGCAGAGAGAUUAGAUGGGAAAUUUGAAUAUGAAGAAGGAUAACUUGGCUAAUUAUAACCCCUCAUCUCGCUCUAAAUGACAGUCAGUGGUGUGAAAAAACAGUUGGAUGAAAACAGGUGAGAGGAGAGAGGGUAAAGGAGAGGAGAAAGGAAGAAAGAAGUGAGGGGGAGGAGUCAAGAGAUCAAUCCCUUGUUUAGGAUUACGAGUGCUCAGAUAACAUCCUGCACCUCACCCACUGCUUUCUUCCAGGGCGAGUGAUUCGAGGCUGCAUAGAGCGAUAGCCUUACACACCUACAUUGACACACAUGCACGCACAUAUCCCCACACCAGAGCACCUUCACUCAACCCCGCAACCCCCAUCCGCAUAACGCCAUUGGCCAAGUUUACACCUAGCUGUGCCGCCACGCUCUCCAAAUGCGAUUAGCGCUUAUCUGAAAGAGGACCAAACUACCUUCAUCAUCGAGGUUCAUCAUCGUCGUCACAUCCAUAUUCAUGAUGCUCAAAUCCCCUCCGGAGUAAAACUAAGGGGAUUCAAGCACCUGAGAACACGGGGCGCCAAGCGGAGGGGGAGGAUUGUAGAUUUCUCUAUUGAGGUCACAGCGCCGUAUAAAAGAAGCAUUUGAAGAGUUUUGUACCACAAAGAGCUACACUCCGAGGCAAGAAAGUGACAACUCUUCUCAAAAAGAGAUUCAUUGCUCAUAAUGAGUGAAAAUUACGGCUCUCUUUGGCUGACAGGAGGAAAUGUAAGACUGUACUUUCAGAAAAUAAUAAUCGCUAUGCAUACUUUUGAAAUUUCUAACAAUAUAGGGAUUAAAUGACUUUCUAAAAAAGCCUGCAUAGCUUUUUUUGGCAGUAACUAGUGGUACUUAUUUCAUGACGGACACACAUUUAACUCGAAUAUUACACACAGCAUUGCUAGUUAGCUACAAACACAACUAGUCUAUAAUGGCACGGGUGUUUCUUAUCAUUAACAACCACAGUUAGCUGGUGAGAUCCUGGAGCUUGGAAUAAAUUGGGUCAUCAAGUGCAGUUAAUUCAUCAAUAAUGUCAUGAAUUAUUAUGGCUUUUGUGUCCCUGGAAAACCUUACGCUGUCCUCAAAUACCUGUUGCAACUUCACUAUGGCACUGACUAUUUUCUUGGUGCUGCUACUGCCGCUUCACAUUUUCUCCAAUUCAUCUUCAUUGAGAUGAAAACUUUCCAGGUGAUGUAAAAGACUUAGGAUUAAAACUUUGGGACUUUCAGAACAAAUUUUGCAAAUUCACGACACUUUCAACUCCCACUGAGAGUUGAAGAAAAUCUGAACUCAAGCAAAAGUAUUCACACGGUAAAAGUGGGGUGACCAUAUUCUGAAUACCCAAAAAGAGGACACAACUACAUGGGAACGGAGUCGCGGAGUCACAGAGUUGCGUGUAGUAAAUUUUAAGUUUUUCAGGUCGAUCUAGUGUUUUUUACACCCUUCUAACUCAGUGGGCUCUAUUUUCGUGUCCGCGGGUGAGGCGGCGGAGGAUGGUGGACCACUGAUCUAUAUCUGAUCUGAUGAGCGCGUUUGGACACACAACCUGACCGAAUCAACACAGCUGAAACGGCAUUAAAUUAAAUCAAAUAUCUAGUAAAUAGACACACAUGAUGAAGUGAACAAGAUAUGUAAUUUGUCUCCCUCCUUUUCUUUCUUCCUCUUUCUCUUAUUUCUCGCACAGCUCGACCUGGACACGUCUCCGUGUCCUCUCCCCGUCCUGCUGCUGCAGCGGCUGAACAGAUGAUUUGUUUCAGUGAUCAGAUGAGUUAUUUACUUUAAGCCUACAUACGAAUAUUAUAAUAUUCAGUUUUGCAAGCCUAAUUUAUUUUAUAUGUCAACAUCUAUGGAACACCUUGUCGGUGCGGCAGAACUGACUUACGCCGCGCCUGCGCCAGGUCUCCGGCGAAGCACGAAAAUAGAGCCCAGUAAGUCCACACCACACAAACUCAAAACUUACUUACAAAACCCCAGAUAUUUGAAGGAUUUUAUAAACUCCCCCGGACAAGGCCGAACAGGCCGGACAGCCCCCCAAAAAGAGGACAUGUCCGGUUCAAAGAGGACGUAUGGUCAGCCUUGUAAAAGCCAAUCAGUGUUCAGAUUACUUAGCAAGAUUAAUUUAUGAGGAAAAUGGAGGACCGACUGAUUGUGACGGUAUGUAGAUACCGGGGCUAUAGGAAACAAUAUGUUCUUAAUAUGAGGAAUAAAAAGAGGAAGACAGUCAGUGAAGAGGUCAGAUUAUAUGGUAAGUAGUAAAAAUGCAAUAGAUCCUUAAAAUGUGGUCAACCUCAGCUCUGUUUGAUGUAAACAGACUGACAGGAAUCCUUCUUUCCUCGUGUUUGUGCACUCCCACAUACGAGCGAAUAUAGUGAGUCAUUUGAGUAAAUUAAGCGAGUAAACAGCCAACACUAAGGCGUCCAAAUACACAUGAAUUAUGCAAGUUAACAUUUCUUUCUUUUUUUGUUUGUUUUUGGUGUGAACAUGAUAUAGAACUACUGAAACACAUGGGCAACAAACAUGGAGGGAAAUGACUGGACUGCUGAAGUACAAAACCGAAGAUGAAGCACUGAAGUGAGGGAACACUGUGCUUAAAUUCACCAGAGGAGUGAAGAUAAGAAGACACAGGUGAGACACAUUGGAGUAAUCAGAGGAGCAG